UGAGUACAUGUGUAUGGUUACAGGGUGUCUGCUAAACCAGUGUUUGGCUUAGCAAAGCCGUUUGAUCUAUGCAGCAUCACUGGGUUUGUGGUCCACUUUAUGAGACUGCAUUAAUUUCAUUCUGAUCAUGUCAGACUGUAAUAAUGAAUGCUUACUUGGACUACAAGUUGCAUUUGUCUCUGUAGCACUCAAAGCUGUAGCUGGUAGUAGUUCGGGAACCGCUAAACCUACAGUAGAGCCCCUUAUACUUUACCUAAACUAUGUAUGUACUACUAACACUACUACUUGUUUUACUUAAUGUUUUCUUUUUAAAUACUUUGUAUUAUUAGAAAGCUUUGAGCUGUUGUCAGACUUGUCACUGUUUCCCAGAAAGCUUCACCUUUUUCUCCUGUGCUGCUUGUGACAUACACUAUGCAUGUAGCAGCUUCAAAGAGGCACAUUAAACUCUAAUGUACACGUGAAAAGGCAACGCUAGCAUGAUUCCCUAUGUGCUUUCUUGGUUGUUUCAAAACCCAUAGAAAUACAGGUCAGAUGAACUAAAUGUGAUUAUACUGUGUCAUAUUUACUUGUUUUUUUUUUUGUUUGUUUGUUUGUUUUAUAGGUAAUUUAAAAAAAUAGCAUAAUUUCUUCACCAUUUGCAGUAGCAAGCCUUGUUAUACCGGUGUGCAAUGUGUCAUUUUGCUGCUCUUCAGACCUCAAUCUCUGCUUACUGUGUAACAUCUAAAACAAACAGUAUGUGUUAAAGCAUAGCUGAGGGUCUCUAUUAUACGCUGAGUCAUGAUUUGCAGAUUACUAUGGAUCCCUUCCAGGAAGAACACAAUAUUACAGGUCGCACAUGCAUAAUGUAUAGACCUUUCCACACUCCACAUGUUUUAUUCAGUGAUAUUUUUUUUUAAAAAUUAUCUUAACUGUAGGCAUCAUGUUUCCACAUUUAUAAAUGUUCCAAUGUUUUUAGUAACUGUGUUUUUAAAUUUUGUGAAACACUUAAUGGUCAAAAGUUUUGAGCACUCCCUCCAUUUUCCAGACACUAUGUGAUGUAAACAGCAGUAACUGGAAAAGUGGAGGUGUGCUAAAACUGUUGACUGAUUCUGUACGUUGUCUGUAUGGUUCUGCAGUGAUGCUCAGCUGAGACCUCCUCACAGUCUUACAUAUUUCAGUACAGGGAUCUGAUAAACCUUCCUUCUCUAACCUCCAGUAAGGUUCCUGCAGUUAAACCUCUAUGGCCUCUCGUCACUUCUUAAAGCUGCCACCUUUUGUCCUUCUGUUUCACACAAGCUGUACUUUUGCAAAAAAAGAAGCUUUUUUUUUUUUUUUAAAUAUAUAUCUAUCCGUUUAAUUCCUUUUACAGAAUGAUCAAACAAGGCCAGUGUCAUCACAUGAUCUGAGAUUAAGUCAUGCUGCUAGAAAAAUGUAUGGAUUUUUUUUGUCAUAAUUUUGAAUCUGUAUCAAAAGAGGCACAUUUUUUUUCUAUUAAACCUAUAAUAAAGACAUAAUAUUGCA
This is a long non-coding RNA of Astatotilapia calliptera (eastern happy), 1500 nucleotides long. The record is from Ensembl. NCBI's taxonomy places the organism in Eukaryota, Metazoa, Chordata, Actinopteri, Cichliformes, Cichlidae.